Molecule: small RNA, 36 nt
Filed under: Sinorhizobium meliloti 2011
Lineage: Bacteria; Pseudomonadati; Pseudomonadota; Alphaproteobacteria; Hyphomicrobiales; Rhizobiaceae
Description: putative ncRNA
Source: RNAcentral
GGGCAUCAGCUUUCGCGAUGACGCCGAUUGACGCCU